CCCUAUGGCGACAUGGGAACCGAACUCGGCGACAUGGGCUCGAGCAAGAAGGGCGGCUGCCGCAUCCUGCUGGUCGAGGAUUCGCCCCUCAUCCGCAAAAAGACGGUGAAGGCGCUCACCAACGCGGGCAUCACCGUCAUCGAGGCCGGCGACGGCCAGGAAGCGUGGGACAAGGUGACGGAGAUGGGCGAGGAGGCGAAGAAGAAGGGCGAAAGCAUCUUCUCGCACAUCGACCUCGUCCUCUCGGACAUCGAGAUGCCGCGCAUGGACGGCUACACCUUCCCCCUCAAGCUGAAACACGACCAGAACCUUCGCGUCCUGCCCGGGCUGCUGCACAGCUGGAUCACCAACGACAGCAUGAUCAAGCGCGCGAACGAAGUCGAAGCCGACGGCUUCAUCCCCAAAUGCGAUCCGAAGGAAUUGGCGGGAGAGC
RNAcentral lists this ribosomal RNA (433 nucleotides) under uncultured prokaryote. Its description in RNAcentral is "partial 16S ribosomal RNA". The record is from RNAcentral.